AGAAUCAACGCUGGCGGCGUGCCUAACACAUGCAAGUCGAACGAGAAAGUGGAGCAAUCCAUGAGUAAAGUGGCGACCGGGUGAGUAACACGUGACUAACCUACCUUCGAGUGGGGGAUAACCUCGGGAAACCGAGGCUAAUACCGCAUAACAUCGCAAGAUCAAAGCAGCAAUGCGCUGGAAGAGGGGGUCGCGGCUGAUUAGCUAGUUGGCGGGUAACGGCCCACCAAGGCGAAGAUCGGUAUCCGGCCUGAGAGGGCGCACGGACACACUGGAACUGAAACACGGUCCAGACUCCUACGGGAGGCAGCAGUGGGGAAUUUUGCGCAAUGGGGGAAACCCUGACGCAGCAACGCCGCGUGGAGGAUGAAGCCCCUUGGGGCGUAAACUCCUUUCGACCAAGACGAUAAUGACGGUACUGGUGGAAGAAGCACCGGCUAACUCUGUGCCAGCAGCCGC
This 459-nucleotide ribosomal RNA is filed under the name uncultured bacterium. RNAcentral's name for it is "SSU rRNA". It matches the Rfam family "Bacterial small subunit ribosomal RNA", at positions 26 to 518 of the family's 1533-position model. The record is from RNAcentral.